CCGACUAGUUCCGGGUUCGAGUCCCG
Molecule: transfer RNA, 26 nt
Filed under: Correa reflexa
Lineage: Eukaryota; Viridiplantae; Streptophyta; Magnoliopsida; Sapindales; Rutaceae
Also listed under: 13 other names
Description: partial tRNA-Lys
Source: RNAcentral